This 405-nucleotide ribosomal RNA is filed under the name uncultured bacterium. RNAcentral's name for it is "bacterial SSU rRNA". It matches the Rfam family "Bacterial small subunit ribosomal RNA", at positions 355 to 776 of the family's 1533-position model. The record is from RNAcentral.
UCGGGAAUAUUGCACAAUGGAGGAAACUCUGAUGCAGUGACGCCGCGUGCAGGAAGAAGGUUUUCGGAUUGUAAACUGCUUUAGACAGGGAAGAACAAGGACAGUACCUGUAGAAUAAGCUCCGGCUAACUACGUGCCAGCAGCCGCGGUAAUACGUAGGGAGCGAGCGUUAUCCGGAUUUAUUGGGUGUAAAGGGUGCGUAGACGGGUAUAUAAGUUAGUUGUGAAAUCCCUCGGCUCAACUGAGGAACUGCAACUAAAACUGUAAAUCUUGAGUGCGGGAGAGGAAAGUGGAAUUCCUAGUGUAGCGGUGAAAUGCGUAGAUAUUAGGAGGAACACCAGUGGCGAAGGCGACUUUCUGGACCGUAACUGACGUUGAGGCACGAAAGUGUGGGGAGCAAACAGG